This 107-nucleotide non-coding RNA is filed under the name Saccharophagus degradans. Its description in RNAcentral is "TPP sequence". It matches the Rfam family "TPP riboswitch aptamer (THI element)". From Rfam's summary of the family: Vitamin B(1) in its active form thiamin pyrophosphate (TPP) is an essential coenzyme that is synthesised by coupling of pyrimidine and thiazole moieties in bacteria. The previously detected thiamin-regulatory element, thi box was extended, resulting in a new, highly conserved RNA secondary structure, the THI element, which is widely distributed in eubacteria and also occurs in some archaea. Lineage: Bacteria; Pseudomonadati; Pseudomonadota; Gammaproteobacteria; Cellvibrionales; Cellvibrionaceae. The record is from RNAcentral. RNAcentral also lists the same sequence under 1 other name.
CGCGCUCCUUAGGGGAGGCUGCGAAGCCUGAGACUAGUACUUAUGUGCUUAUACCCUUCGAACCUGAUCCGGUUAGUACCGGCGUAGGAAUAGGAUAAAAACUAUAG